GGGCUCCGUUCGGCGCUGAAUAGAGACCCGAGAUUGAGCUCUUCGCUGGCAGUUGCAAGCGGGCUUCAGUGAAGGUGUUGGUGGGCCAACAUCAUAUGAAGGUUCAACUUGGGAAAGCUCUAUUGGCCCCCCUAUUUUCCUUGGUUUGUGGUCCCCUCCGUCCGUGUUCAAAGCUCAUCGUUUCAGUCUCUGAUUCUGUCAUCAUGUUGCCUUCUCCUCCAACUCUGACUCCCCCUGCAUCCCUUUCCGGAGGACUGGUGAUUACUUCAGGUCUGCGAAGAUAAUCCAAGAUCAUGGAGAAAAGGAUGGAAGGAUUCACACCAAACUCUUAACAUUGGUUACUUCACACUGGAGUAGAAACAAGGUAGAGUGAAUUUGUUAAUGGUUUCCUUCUAUCCCUCCAUAUAUUUGGACUUGAUUAUCAGAACAAGCUUGCAUUACUUUUUCAAUUAAAAAAUAAACCCUGUAAAUGAAAGGAAGAAUAAAGCUUUUACUACUGUCUCAUGAAAUUAUAAACCAUCUAUUUGGGAACAAGCAUCAUAGAUACAAGGAGGGAUGAAAUGGAAAUUAGCAAGGCUUGGAUGAAUAAUCUUAAACUUGGAGUUAAAGAAUCCUGGCCAUGAUUUGUCUUUACAAUGUGAUUUGAGAAAGUACAGGAACGCCUGGCUGGCUGAGUUGAUCAUGGGACUCUUGAUCUUGGGGUUGUGAGUUUAAGCCCCGCAUUGGGUAUAGAGCUUGCUUAAAAGUAAAAGAAAAUAAAUAAAAAUGGCACCUGGCUGGCUUGGUCAGAAGAGGAUGAGGCUCUUAGUAUAAGGGUCAUGGGUUUGAGGGCCACUUGAGGGUGAAGCCUACUAAAAAUAAAAAGAAAAAAAAAGAAAAAAAAAUAAUUGAAAGAAAAGAAAUCAGUAUUGCUACCUGUCUUUGAAUGUAGUUACUCCUAGAAGGUCUUCUGGAUUCUCAUAUAUGCUUUUGAAUUGAUUACUAUGUGAGGUAAUGUAUUGGGAUGUUCACAUAUUGGCAGAGAUUGGUUUAUUGACUUUAUUUAACCAACAUUUAUUUAGUGAAAUGAUAAUAAAUAUUAAUAUU
Long non-coding RNA from Mustela erminea (ermine), 1086 nucleotides. RefSeq lists it as uncharacterized. The transcript has 4 exons. The record is from RefSeq and is a predicted model, not a curated record. NCBI's taxonomy places the organism in Eukaryota, Metazoa, Chordata, Mammalia, Carnivora, Mustelidae.